This 100-nucleotide transfer RNA is filed under the name Paraburkholderia domus. Its description in RNAcentral is "Paraburkholderia sp. LMG 31832 tRNA-Arg". Lineage: Bacteria; Pseudomonadati; Pseudomonadota; Betaproteobacteria; Burkholderiales; Burkholderiaceae. The record is from RNAcentral.
GAUUGCAGUGGCCCGGCACAGUCCGGCACCGAUUCUUCUAGAAUCGGGGGAAACUUCGCAACGAUUGGGCAUCCGCGGGGCCCCCCCGCGCCGCGACUAC